This 237-nucleotide ribosomal RNA is filed under the name uncultured bacterium. Its description in RNAcentral is "partial 16S ribosomal RNA". It matches the Rfam family "Bacterial small subunit ribosomal RNA", at positions 118 to 353 of the family's 1533-position model. The record is from RNAcentral.
UGAGGAACAUGACUUUCGGCGGGGGAUAGCCGGCCCAACGGCCGGGUAAUACCGCGUACGACCUUUUGGGGACAUCCCUGAUUGGUGAAAGCAGCAAUGCGCCGAAAGAGUGCCUCGCGGCCUAUCAGCUAGUUGGUGGGGUAAUGGCUCACCAAGGCGACGACGGGUAGCUGGUCUGAGAGGAUGGCCAGCCACAUUGGGACUGAGACACGGCCCAGACUCCUACGGGAGGNAGCG